Molecule: long non-coding RNA, 1257 nt
Organism: Rosa rugosa (rugosa rose)
Lineage: Eukaryota; Viridiplantae; Streptophyta; Magnoliopsida; Rosales; Rosaceae
Exons: 8
Source: RefSeq, a predicted model, not a curated record
CGAGCCCUCGUUUCUCACUGCCUCACUUCCAGUCCACGACCCUAUCUCAUUUCAGUUUCUCUCUCUUCCUUUCGCUCUCUCUUUCUUCACUGGCCUCUCAGUUUUCUCUUCGUCAUCGACAAUUCGAGAUCGCCAAGGAGACCGCCAAGGACUGGGUUAAGCUCACCGUCCAAAACCGUCAGGCCAAGGUCUCAGUGGUCCCCUCUACCGCCUCUUUGGGAUCUGCGUUUUGCUUGGAGCCGGAUCGCGACCGCAAAAUGUCAACUGCUUCAGAUUCGUUUUCUCUACCUUCUUCCUUCACACAUCUCUCAGCCGGAGCUUCCUCCUUUCCCUCCAGAUCCAGUUAUGAUUAGAUCUUUUGUAAAGAUCCAAUAUUGGGGCCGCUAAGUUUGUGAAGGAGAUGGGGCUCAAUUAUCGAGCUGCACUUAGCAAUAUCACCAAUUUCAAAAGAGAGGCUUUUGGAAAGCAUGCUUCUCAGUUCUCACUUUCUCAGUCAAUACUAGAAGACUCUCUCUUUCAGAGAAGACGCAAGUUGAUUGAAGGUUGGAUGGCCAAACCAAUAUGGAAGCAGGCGGACCCUCGAUAUGUUAGUACCAAUAUAUCUCAGUUGUGAUUUAUGAUGACAGUCAGAUCUUCUAGUUGCAGCAGCCAGGACUGGAAAGAUUGUCAAUAUAUUAAGAAGGGUCAAUUCUGUGCUCCUUCUGUCAUGGUAAAUUCUGCUGAGAAGAUUCGACUGGCAGGAAAUCCAAAUGUGAUGGUUUGUGAGAGGGGAACUAUGUUUGGUUAUAAUGAUUUAAUUGUUGAUCCGCGUAAUUUGGAGUGGAUCAGAGAAGCUAAUUGUCCUGUUUUACUAUUCUAUGUAUGGACAUUUCAAGAAGCUGGAUGAAGAGAUUAAAAGGGGAGCUGCAUCUUUGGAAGUAGAAGCCCAACUAUCUCAGGUUUGCAAUUGUCGAUCACUUCAUAUUAUGGAAUUGAUAUACGAUAAAUCAAGAAGCUGCAUAAACUAUUUAGAAUUUGUGCUACAAGUAUUUUUCACUUUUGACCUUGAUUAUGAUGACUUCCUUAUGUCAGUUACUUGUAGUGUUGCUGGAAAGUCACUGGACUUUACUAUGUUUUGGUAUGCUAAUGACUAAUUCUGCAGGGGUGGUCAUUUUCACAUGAUCCAUUGCACAAAUGAAGGUUAUAUUUACAAUUUUUUUUUUGAAAUAUUGUUCCCUUUUAUUUAUCUGUUGUCAUUAACAAUGGAACACACUUCUU